GAGAGAGGUAAGAAACAGUAAGGAUUGCUAAUCCAUACCCCCGUAGUUAAACUCUACGGCUCACUCA
This 67-nucleotide transfer RNA is filed under the name Hoplosternum littorale (atipa). RNAcentral's name for it is "tRNA-Ser". The record is from RNAcentral. Lineage: Eukaryota; Metazoa; Chordata; Actinopteri; Siluriformes; Callichthyidae.